UGGGGAAUAUUGGGCAAUGGGCGCAAGCCUGACCCAGCCAUGCCGCGUGGGUGAAGAAGGUCUUAGGAUUGUAAAGCCCUUUCAGCAGGGAAGAUGAUGACGGUACCUGCAGAAGAAGCCCCGGCUAACUCCGUGCCAGCAGCCGCGGUAAUACGGAGGGGGCUAGCGUUGUUCGGAAUUACUGGGCGUAAAGGGCACGUAGGCGGCCCGUUUAGUCAGAGGUGAAAUCCCCGAGCUCAACUUGGGAAUUGCCUUUGAUACUGGCGGGCUUGAGUCCGGGAGAGGAUAGUGGAAUUCCCAGUGUAGAGGUGAAAUUCGUAGAUAUUGGGAAGAACACCAGUGGCGAAGGCGGCUAUCUGGACCGGUACUGACGCUGAGGUGCGAAAGCGUGGGGAGCAAACAGGAUUAGAUACCCCCGUAGUCC
RNAcentral lists this ribosomal RNA (424 nucleotides) under uncultured prokaryote. Its description in RNAcentral is "bacterial SSU rRNA". It matches the Rfam family "Bacterial small subunit ribosomal RNA", at positions 355 to 796 of the family's 1533-position model. The record is from RNAcentral.